RNAcentral lists this ribosomal RNA (491 nucleotides) under uncultured bacterium. Its description in RNAcentral is "partial 16S ribosomal RNA". It matches the Rfam family "Bacterial small subunit ribosomal RNA", at positions 29 to 506 of the family's 1533-position model. The record is from RNAcentral.
AGUAAACGCUGGCGGUAGGCCUAACACAUGCAAGUCGAACGGCAGCACAGUAAGAGCUUGCUCUUACGGGUGGCGAGUGGCGGACGGGUGAGGAAUACAUCGGAAUCUACUUUUUCGUGGGGGAUAACGUAGGGAAACUUACGCUAAUACCGCAUACGACCUACGGGUGAAAGCAGGGGAUCUUCGGACCUUGCGCGAUUGAAUGAGCCGAUGUCAGAUUAGCUAGUUGGCGGGGUAAAGGCCCACCAAGGCGACGAUCCGUAGCUGGUCUGAGAGGAUGAUCAGCCACACUGGAACUGAGACACGGUCCAGACUCCUACGGGAGGCAGCAGUGGGGAAUAUUGGACAAUGGGCGCAAGCCUGAUCCAGCCAUACCGCGUGGGUGAAGAAGGCCUUCGGGUUGUAAAGCCCUUUUGUUGGGAAAGAAAAGCAGCAGGUUAAUACCCCGCUGUUCUGACGGUACCCAAAGAAUAAGCACCGGCUAACUUCGU